UGCUUUGUUACUAUUCGUGUCUGCUGGGUUCAGCUCUGCUCGAACAGAAACAGAGAGAAUCGUGUGCUGGGUUAAAUAAUAUUAACCGGUUCCUAUAAAAUUGGUGACCCCGACUGAGAAUUGUGCCUAUCUGAGAGGAGUCAGAUUCGCUGCUGUUGUGCCAACGGAGAUCAACAACAUCUACGGAGGAACAAAAGUUAAUGCGGACGCUAAAGAACGAACAAAGAACGAGAUGACAAUGCAUUAAAGAUAAACAACAGUUGAACAAUGGUAGACGGCUAUGGAACGACAAAACGAUGAAUCUUGACGAUGGCUAACGGACAAACGAAACGAACUUUUAAAAAAUUAUGAGGUGAAAAAUCAACGAAAAAUAAUCAAAAUGAUGAAAUAAUCAAUCAACUACAGACGAAGGGACUUUUCAAAGAAAUACGGUACAUAAAACGCGCCCAAACAAAUUAUUUAACGCGACAAAUGACGAAAAGAAUGACAAACGUAACAAUAUGUUAUUUUCAUGCUCAUAAUUUUGUUUUAUUUUAUCAGUGCAGAUUUUUCAUCUUGUUGGGACACGCUUCAUACUUCUCCUAUUCUUAAGAUAAAAUUCUUCAAUUUCUCUCUGGCGUUUUAAAAUUCGGCUUCCAAUUUUUAUGAAUUCAUUGAAGGUAGGGUAAUUCGGAUGUUUAUUUAAGUGGCAUAAAAUCGUUAGGCCAAAUGAUUGUCCAACAUAAGUAAAUGUUUAAUUACGAAUGGUUUUCAUAAAAUUCAUAAAGAAUGUAAAUUUGACGGUCAUAAACAAUCCCAUCUUCGAUAGAAUAUGUUUCUAAAUCACUGGCAACCUUUUAAAAAGAUGAUUUAAAUAUAAUCAUACUUUAAUCUCGCCAAUAUAUUCGUCUAAUACGAAUAUAUUGAUCAAAUACAUAAACUAAGCGCAUUUUUUUCUCAACGCACACAGAAGGCUAAUUUUUUUUCAAAGCGCUUCAAACCCAACAAGGGAUAUCAAGGCUAGCUAAGCCAUUACUUGCGAGUUGUAAGGUUAAGGUGUGAUGAAAUAUGUUAAAUUGAAAUGAUUGUUUUGACUGUCAACAUCAAAUUUAAAACUAUAAUACGCCAACCUUUUCUAAAAGCUUCUUUCCACUUUUCUAAUUACCUGUUCUUCAUGCCUCUUCUCUGUCCCAUUAAAUUUUUCAAUUUCAGUAUAUAUAUUAAUGUGUAUCCGUAUGAUCAUGAAUAUUUUGUUUAUUACUUGAAGUAUUAAUGACAUUGAAAAAAAUAACUCAAUUUUAAAUCUAGCUAAUUCGGAAAUAAGUUGAAAAUUAUCAUAAAACUUUCCAUAUUAUUACAAAUCAAAUUAUUAUUUUAUCAGCCUGAUAACCUUAAUUUCACUCAAGUUAUUUUGUUAUAAUUUCAGUGUAAUCUUAAAAUCAUUAUUUUUUUCGUUAUUAUUUUGUAGAGAUCUGUACAAUUUUUGACACGUUUGU
This is a non-coding RNA of Styela clava, 1475 nucleotides long. NCBI's taxonomy places the organism in Eukaryota, Metazoa, Chordata, Ascidiacea, Stolidobranchia, Styelidae. The record is from RefSeq and is a predicted model, not a curated record.